GUUUAUUCAAUCCAUUGUUCUGCUCUCAAAACAAUGUAUGUUCUUCCAAUUUUGAGUGUUAGCAUACCAUCUUUGUGGGCAUUUUCAGAUCUUUAAAUGAAGGUGUCUACUUAUUUUGAAAAUGAAAGAUCCAUUGGCUUCUCUCUCUCACUCAUAAAUCAUAACUGAUAGCAGGCAGUUGCAAUCUGUAAUUUUUUGCUUAGUAUCCUUAGUUUCUCAUUGUCUUUGACCUAUUUAAUCAUAGGAACAAGUAAGAAGUGGUGAUGCU
Molecule: unclassified non-coding RNA, 268 nt
Filed under: Hevea brasiliensis (rubber tree)
Lineage: Eukaryota; Viridiplantae; Streptophyta; Magnoliopsida; Malpighiales; Euphorbiaceae
Source: RNAcentral